CCCUUAGAUGUCCGGGGCCGCACGCGCGCUACACUGAAGGAAUCAGCGUGGCUUUCUCCCUGACCCGAAAGGGUUGGGAAACCCGUUGAAUCUCCUUCGUGAUAGGGAUUGGGGCUUGAAAUUGUUCCCCAUGAACGAGGAAUUCCCAGUAAGCGCGAGUCAUAAGCUCGCGUUGAUUACGUCCCUGCCCUUUGUACACACCGCCCGUCGCUACUACCGAUUGAACGGUUUAGUGAGGUCCUCGGAUUGGUCUCGGCCCGCUCUUUACCGGGCGGCGCCGUUGGUCGAGAAGACGCUCGAACUUGAUCGUUUAGAGGAAGUAAAAGUCGUAACA
RNAcentral lists this ribosomal RNA (334 nucleotides) under uncultured eukaryote. RNAcentral describes it as "partial 18S ribosomal RNA". It matches the Rfam family "Eukaryotic small subunit ribosomal RNA", at positions 1470 to 1796 of the family's 1831-position model. The record is from RNAcentral.